UGGCGACGCCACCUGACGUGGUUGGCCAUUUGCUGCCACGACAAAGAGUUCCACCCUCUGGGCCUAGCCAUCCACCGCCCUUGGUUGCCACGCCACCUAACAGGGUUGGGGAUUUGCUGCCACGAGGAAGAGUACCACCCUCUGGACCUAGCCAUCCGCCGCCCUUAGUGGCGACGCCACCUAACGGGGUUGGGGAUUUGCUGCCACGAGGAAGAGUACCACCCUCUGGGCCUAGCCAUCCACCACCCUUGGUUGCGACGCCACCUGGCAGGGUUGGGGAUUUGCUUCCACGAAGAAGAGUACCACCCUCCGGGCCUAGCCAUCCGCCUCCGUUGGUGGAAAU
RNAcentral lists this long non-coding RNA (343 nucleotides) under Sorghum bicolor (sorghum). Its description in RNAcentral is "long non-coding RNA (SBIC_LNC015299)". The record is from RNAcentral. Lineage: Eukaryota; Viridiplantae; Streptophyta; Magnoliopsida; Poales; Poaceae.